RNAcentral lists this transfer RNA (77 nucleotides) under Candidatus Saccharimonadota bacterium. RNAcentral's name for it is "tRNA-Arg". It matches the Rfam family "tRNA". Rfam says of the family: Transfer RNA (tRNA) molecules are approximately 80 nucleotides in length. Their secondary structure includes four short double-helical elements and three loops (D, anti-codon, and T loops). The record is from RNAcentral. Lineage: Bacteria; Candidatus Saccharimonadota.
GCCCCCGUAGCUCAGCUGGAUAGAGCAGGAGACUUCUAAGCUCAAGGUCGCAUGUUCGAAUCAUGCCGGGGGUACCA